This 407-nucleotide ribosomal RNA is filed under the name uncultured bacterium. Its description in RNAcentral is "partial 16S ribosomal RNA". It matches the Rfam family "Bacterial small subunit ribosomal RNA", at positions 30 to 526 of the family's 1533-position model. The record is from RNAcentral.
AUUGACCGCUGGCAGCAGGCCUAAUACAUGCAAGUCGAGCGGAGCGGCGGACGGGUGAGUAAUGCCUAGGAAUCUGCCUGGUAGUGGGGGAUAACGUCCGGCAAUGGGCGAUAAUACAGCAUACUAUCAGAUGCACCUAGGUCGGAUUAGCUAGUGGGUGGGGUAAAGGCCUACAACGGCGACGACCCGUAACUGGUCUGAGAGGCUGAUCAGUCACACUGGAACUGAGAAACGGUCCAGACUCCUACGGGAUGCAGCAGUGGGGAAUAUUGGACAAUGGGCGAAAGCCUGAUCCAGCCAUGCCGCGUGUGUGAAGAAGUUCUUCGGAUUGUAAAGCACUUUAAGUUGGGAGGCGUUACCAACAGAAUAAGCACCGGCUAACUUCGUGCCAGCAGCCGCGGUAAUAC